ACGAGAGAGACGGGGUGACGGGGGAGAGAGGGAGGGUGUUUUGGUGCCUGUCGCUCGCCGUCCUUUUUCCUUCUCUGGUCGCUUUCGCCGCUCAGUCUUUUCCUCUCUCCCCCCUCCCCGGCCCCUGUCCUCCCUCCAGCCCCAGGCCUCUGUCCUCCCGCCUCGCCGCUUCUCCUGCGUUUCCCCCCCACCUCACCCUACCCAGUUCCCCGUUCCCUCCCCCAGUAUAUGCCCCGCAGCGCGGCCGCCCCCCGCUCCCCCCGGUCCUGCCGCCCCAUGUGGCUGCGGGACCGCCGCGGCGUUUCCCACUAUGGCCCGGAAAACAGUUAGCAGGAAGCGGAAAGCGCCCGCGGCGCCAGGGACCGGGAGCGGGACCCAGGGCCAUCAGUUUGGCUGGGAUCAUUCACUAAACAAAAGGAAAAGGCUCCCUCCAGUGAAGAGGUCCUUGGUCUACUACCUGAAAGGCAGAGAAGUCAGGUUGCAGAAUGAGUCCAGUUACUACCGAGUGUUGCAUGGUUAUGCAGCACAGCACCUUCCCAGUCUCCUGAAGGAGAGAGAGUUUCACCUGGGAACCCUUAACAAAGUGUUUGCAUCUCAGUGGCUGAAUCACCGGCAAGUGGUGUGUGGCACAAAAUGCAACACGUUGUUUGUGGUCGAUGUCCAGACAGGCCAGAUCACCAAGAUUCCCAUUUUGAAAGAUCGAGAACCUGGAGUGGUGACCCAGCAGGGCUGUGGUAUCCAUGCCAUCGAGCUGAACCCCUCAAGAACUCUACUGGCCACUGGAGGAGACAACCCCAACAGCCUUGCAAUCUAUCGGCUGCCUACGUUAGAUCCUGUGUGUGUGGGAGAUGAUGGACACAAGGACUGGAUAUUCUCUAUUGCAUGGAUCAGCGAUACCAUGGCAGUUUCUGGUUCACGGGAUGGUUCCAUGGGGCUUUGGGAGGUGACAGAAGAUGUGUUGACCAAAAGCGAUGCCAGGCACAACGUAUCCCGAGUCCCUGUGUAUGCUCACAUCACACAUAGGGCCCUAAAAGACAUCCCUAAGGAGAAUACUAAUCCUGACAACUGCAAGGUCCGGGCCCUGGCCUUCAACAAUAAAAACAAAGAGCUUGGAGCAGUGUCCCUCGAUGGCUACUUUCAUCUCUGGAAAGCAGAACAUACACUGUCCAAGCUCCUGUCCAUCAAGCUGCCAUACUGUCGUGAGAAUGUGUGUCUGGCCUAUGGCCAUGAGUGGUCUGUGUAUGCAGUGGGCUCCCAAGCUCAUGUUUCCUUCUUGGACCCACGACAACCGUCACACAAUGUCAAAUCAGUCUGCUCCAGAGAACGAGGCAGUGGCAUCCGUUCGGUGAGCUUCUACGAGCACAUCAUCACUGUGGGCACAGGGCAGGGCUCCCUGUUAUUUUACGACAUUCGCGCCCAGAGGUUUCUGGAAGAGAAGCACUUAUCCUGCUAUGGGUCCAAGCCCAAGCUCGCAGGGGAAAAUCUGAAGCUGACCACUGGCAAAGGCUGGCUGAAUCAUGAUGAAACUUGGAGGAAUUAUUUUUCAGACAUUGAUUUCUUCCCCAAUGCUGUUUACACCCACUGCUACGACUCGUCUGGAACGAAACUCUUUGUGGCAGGAGGUCCCCUCCCUUCAGGGCUCCAUGGGAACUAUGCCGGGCUGUGGAGCUAAUGAAUAACUCUUCUGAAAUGCAGAGAUUCACACUAACUUCCAUCUUCAGUUUCUUUGUUUCUUCUUUUCAUUUUUCAAUCGUGUGAUGCCCUUGUCUUAUUGGAACACCAGAAUCUACUUUUGACUUGGGCAUUUGACACUGGCUCCGUACGUUGGUCUAAAGUGGCUUUUUCUUUUUUCUCCCCUUUGGCAAUCAGAAUUUUGCUUUAAUAUUUUUUGGGGCUUUUUAUUUGCUUCUUACCGAAAGGAUUUUUUGUUAAUCCCAUAUUGUAUUUCCUUUUUAAGUGACACACACUUUCCCCUAUUUGGCUUCUGCUUUAGGCUGACACAGUCAUACUCAUCCCUACUUUGCUGUUGUGAGGGUUCCUAGUGCAGGGCUCUGCACUCAAGGGGAUACUAUCUAUGCUAAGGAUCUCAAGGGACUCUAUGGUGUCAUUGAAAACAUUAUUGUCCUCAUAUAAGAGGAGAAAACUGAGGCCGAUAAGACUUACCAGAGGGUGUCAAAGUCAAAAACAGAGACCUGAGACCACUGACACUAUCUCUGUUCCAAGCAUAGGCUGGUUUCCCUCCUAGAAGAAAAAAUGAAGAGCCCUGAGGAAUACCUCUUUACCCUCCAGAUUAUCAGGAGCUGUGAAAUGUUCCUAAAAAAACAAACACACACACAAAAACAGAAGCAGGCUUCAAUCAGGGGAAAAGAACCUGAAAUAACAGAGGGGAAACUUGACCCUUGUCAGGAAGUUGGAGAGUUGAAGGAUAUGAUCCUAUGGUCUCAGGAGGAGUAAAGGAAGGAAAAGGACAACUGUACCUGGGAGCUUAAAAGAGAAUGAGAGAGAGAGAGAGAAAGAGAGAGAGAGAGAGAGAGAGAGCCUGAAGAGGAAAGAGUGGGGUGCCCUAAGAAGGAAGCGAUUGCUUGACUUCCAAGGACUGAGGAAGAGCCACAGAAGCUAUCAGGUGAGAGAUCAUUUGGUAAAGGUCAGAAUACUUUGGUGGUUGGUGUCUCUGCACCCAGGGGGACAGAGGCAGCUGUUUGUUGACCUGAUAACAACAAAAGAGAAGUAACUGAAAACAUCCCAAGACUUGUCAAAAAUGGGUGAUGGCCACCCCAUCUGGUGAUUCGCUUACCGGUUCCUCAGUUUACCCAUUCCCCAUCACUGACUCUUCCACUCCCCCUCAUCUUCACAAAGAGGUGGCCAUUGUCCACAGCUGUUCCCCUUCCAUGUUCAUGAACUCUGACAUUCCCUUAUCUGGCCAGAGUCUAUUGUCACUCUACCUUUCCCUCUGCCUUACAACCCCUAAGCCUGCUUUUCAUCCUCACUGUGACCUCCAAUUCCUCUGCCCCUCAGUUCUUUCCCAAGCCAGGAGAUUUACGUGAGCUGCACUCUCUUCCCUUCCCCAUCUUGACCCCUAGGUGAAUCAGUUCACUUCUACCCUCUCCUCCUGAGACCUUGGACCCCUUAUGCUAUCACUGAUCUUACCCUGCCGAGCCUCAGCCUUGGAUUACCCCCACCAUCCAUUGGUUCCUGCUCCCUUACCGCUGAACAGAGCUGGAGAAAAUAACAAAGCUGGGCUGCCUAAAUCCUCUACAAAUUUAUGUUACAUAAUCUCAAAUAGGUUUUCCCAACAGCUGUUCCUCCAUCUUUUUACACCCCCCCCAAUCAAUUCACUCACUAUUCCAGUCACCACAAUGGCUUUUCCAAACCUUUAGAAAACCUUUUCACCCUUGGCUUCACCCUUUCAGUGAGAACUUUGACUCAUGUAACAUGGGGAAAAAAAUGAGGUCAUCUACCAAGAGUCCUCUCUUCUCCCCUCAUCUCAUACUAUUUACAUGCCUUCUGUCUGUAUCUCCUCCUUCACCCCUAUAUUAUGUAAAGAGAUAGCCUUUCUCCUUACCAAAGCAAACCUUUCCCCAUGAACAAGUGAGCCAAUUCCCUCCUGUCUUCUCCAAUAGAUUAAAGUCCCCUCUGCCAUCCACACUGUCUCAUUAAUCUUCAAUCUCUGUCUGCUGGCUACUUCUCUGCUGCCCACAAACAGAUCCAAGUCUCCCUUAACCUCAGAAAACCUUCUCUUGAUCCUCCCAUCCAAGGGGUGUGCUGGAGCCAGCUUGUACUGAUUCAUAAGAGCUAAUUGUUAAAUUUUCAGUGGGAACAUUUACACCUCAGAAAUUGACUAACACUACAAAAUCAGGGCUUAAGUCAUAUUUUUUGUUGAUUGUCUGUACUUAAGAAAGUGAUGGCGAAAAUGGUAGUGAUGAAAAUUAAACUUAAAAGGGUGUUCUUUCAGAGCACUGGUGGUUAAACUUUUACCAGCACACCACUGCCUCUGUCCCUGGUAGUUUUCAUCUUAUUUCUCUCCUCCUCUUUGUGGCUAAACUCCUCGAGAAGGCCAUCUACAACUGGUGCCUCCACUUCCUCUCUUCUUCUAAGCCCUUUGCAAUCUAGUUUUUUACCUCAUCAUUCAACUGAAACUGCCUUCUUCCGAGUUACCAAUGAUCUCUUAAUUGCCAGAUCUAAUGGCCUUUUCUCAAUCAUCAUUCUUCUUGACCUCUCCGUAGCCUCUGACACCAUUAAUUACCCUCUUCUUGACACUCUCUUCUCUCUAGGUUUUGGCAGCACCUCUCUUUCCUGAUUCUCCUUCUACCUGUCUGACCACUCCUUCUCAGUCUCCUUUGCUGGAUCUUCAUCCAGCUUGUACUUACUAACCAUAGGUGUUGCCCAAGACACUGUCUUGGGCCUUCUUCUUUUCUCUCUCUAUACAAUUUUUCAUCUGCUCCCAUGAAUUCCAUUAUCAUUUCUAUGCAGAUCUAUUUGUCCAGCCCUACCCCCUCUCCUGACUUCCAGUUACAUCUCCAACUGCC
This is an RNA transcript of Vombatus ursinus (common wombat), 4526 nucleotides long. It is a transcript of the gene named DDB1 and CUL4 associated factor 12, with no coding region annotated. Lineage: Eukaryota; Metazoa; Chordata; Mammalia; Diprotodontia; Vombatidae. The transcript has 10 exons. The record is from RefSeq and is a predicted model, not a curated record.